AGCGAACGCUGGCGGCGUGCCUAACACAUGCAAGUCGAACGUGAAAAGGGAAACCUGAGUAAAGUGGCGUACGGGUGAGUAACGCGUAGGUAAUCUACCCCAGAAUCUGGAAUAACCUGCCGAAAGGCGGGCUAAUACUGGAUAGAGCGAGGGAACUCGUAAGAGAGUUUUUCGGGAAAGGGAGCCCGCAAGGGCCUUCGUUCUGGGAUGAGCCUGCGUCUCAUUAGCUAGUUGGUAAGGUAACGGCUUACCAAGGCGAUGAUGAGUAGCUGGUCUGAGAGGAUGAUCAGCCACACUGGAACGUAAACACGGUCCAGACUCCUACGAGAGGCAGCAGUGGGGAAUCUGGCGCAAUGGACGAGAGUCUGACGCAGCCACGCCGCGUGAGUGAAGAAGGCCUUCGGGUUGUAAAGCUCUGUCGGAUGUGACGAACAUCUUCAUAGUGAAAAGCUAUGAGGACUGACGGUACCAACAAAGGAAGCACCGGCUAACUCCGUG
RNAcentral lists this ribosomal RNA (498 nucleotides) under uncultured bacterium. RNAcentral describes it as "partial 16S ribosomal RNA". It matches the Rfam family "Bacterial small subunit ribosomal RNA", at positions 29 to 507 of the family's 1533-position model. The record is from RNAcentral.